CCCGGCUCGUUCUGAUUGGUCCACACGUCUGAGAGCUCGCCAGGUGGGACCUGUCGGGCGCGUCCCGAUUGGCUCGCAGAGGAUGACGUUUGGAGAGGUGUUCUUUCAAAGGCAGAGUGGGUCUUUGCACCAUGUCCCGAUCACGGCUGCAUGGCUUUCAGCAGGUGGACAAGCCCCCACCAUUCUCUAUCAAUGAAACGAUGCUGCGUUGCAGAGGAAGAGGAGCCACAUCGCGGCAGGCGGCCUGGUGAAACAGCUGACGUCGGCUGUUUCUCAGUGCAGGGGGGGGGGCCCCGGAGAAUUUAGUUAUUGCUUUGGGAGGCUUUGUGUCGGCUCUGCUUGGUUUGUGGUUUAUCAGGAGUCUGACAGGUUCCCAUGUGGUGCUGCUUUGGCCACCAUCCAAUGCAGAUCCUUCUCCACAGGGAAAAUAGACCGCUAACAUCUUAGCUCUGUGUUUUUUGUAAAGCUCCAUGCUGUAGCUGCAUGCACGUCGAUGAGGUUUACCGACAUGUUUGACCAUUACUAUUGUAACUGUCAUAUAAAAAUAAAAAAAACACAACACGCCUUGAGUAACUGGAGGGUUGUCCUCAAACACCCCAAAUCCAAAGUCCUUAUUAUAUGCAUGUAGGCACGCCACUAAAAGGGACAUCUUAUCCAUAAUAGCAGCACCACACUGGGGAAUGACCUUGAUAAUGCACAUUAUUUAUUGUCUUAUCUUAAACUUCAAAAGGUAGAGCAGGAAAGUAAAUUGAGCUUUCACACAUCCAACCCGAGGCUCAUGGAGUUUCCCUGCAUGCUGCAAACAGAUUGCAUUUGACCAAAUAAUUUAACAGACUUAAUGUGGGUAACAUUCAGUUAUAAUUAAUGCAUUUGUCUGACCGUGUCAAACUAAACCAGCUUUGUUUUGUUGAUGGCAAAACUAUGAGUUAAAAGUAAAGGAUAAUACAAUUUAGUGGUGGAAUUAAAGGUGAUUAUUGUGAAUAACGGCUAUGAUAGUGAAUAAGUAAUGCGUUUCUAACAGUAAUAGUGAAUGCUUUGGCUCAAUGAACAGGUCAAAUCAUUUCUGUGGCCAUCAAGGAUGAAUGGAUUGACGGAUGGGAGG
Molecule: non-coding RNA, 1102 nt
Organism: Gasterosteus aculeatus aculeatus (three-spined stickleback)
Lineage: Eukaryota; Metazoa; Chordata; Actinopteri; Perciformes; Gasterosteidae
Source: RefSeq, a predicted model, not a curated record